RNAcentral lists this ribosomal RNA (434 nucleotides) under uncultured bacterium. RNAcentral describes it as "partial 16S ribosomal RNA". It matches the Rfam family "Bacterial small subunit ribosomal RNA", at positions 27 to 507 of the family's 1533-position model. The record is from RNAcentral.
GAACGAACGCUGGCGGCAGGCCUAACACAUGCAAGUCGAGCGAGGACUUCGGUUCUAGCGGCGGACGGGUGAGUAACGCGUGGGAAUGUGCCCUUCUCUACGGAAUAGCCCUGGGAAACUGGGAGUAAUACCGUAUACGCCCUAUUGGGGAAAGAUUUAUCGGAGAAGGAUCAGCCCGCGUUGGAUUAGGUAGUUGGUGGGGUAAUGGCCUACCAAGCCGACGAUCCAUAGCUGGUUUGAGAGGAUGAUCAGCCACACUGGGACUGAGACACGGCCCAGACUCCUACGGGAGGCAGCAGUGGGGAAUCUUAGACAAUGGGGGCAACCCUGAUCUAGCCAUGCCGCGUGAGUGAUGAAGGCCUUAGGGUUGUAAAGCUCCUUCAGCUGGGAAGAUAAUGACGGUACCAGCAGAAGAAGCCCCGGCUAACUCCGUG